Molecule: non-coding RNA, 1000 nt
Organism: Cricetulus griseus (Chinese hamster)
Lineage: Eukaryota; Metazoa; Chordata; Mammalia; Rodentia; Cricetidae
Source: RefSeq, a predicted model, not a curated record
GCCACCCACUCACCUGGGCUGGGCGCGGCCAGGAUGGGGAGACGAGGGAUGCACGCCCGCACGCCUCGCUGCUUCACCUCUGCUGCUCUCGCUCUGCUCCGAGCCACCCACCACUUUUCUAAGUGCGGCUCCUGAAAGGUCCUUCUCGCCCGACUCGUGCUCCCUCCCUCGCUCCCAUUUGCCGAAGAUGAUGAUGGAGCCUGCCUGCUUCUUAUCAUCAUUUCAGUCUUUCCUCGUAAACAUUUCUGUGCUCACGCUAGCAUACUCCGCCUCCUGAGUUCCUGCUGUACUGCACUGGCUGGCCCCUGUUUGUUGAAGUCGCAGCUCAAAUGUAUCAAACUGAUCCUUCCUGGCCAACAGAGCUCAAAAGUAACCGUGUAGAUAGAUACCCUGUAUCCAUCCCUUCCACUGCAUUAAUUUAAGGCUUAUUUCUGUUUGUUGCUUGUCUCUGCUUUACCUUGAAAACUAAGUCAGAGCAGCACUCCCAGGAUCCUGAGAAGGGUAACCUAGUAGACACCAGUGUCAUUUAAUGAAUACUUGUUCAUAUCCAGAAUCCCCAGUGCUUAACACAAUUCCUGGCACAUUCCAGGUGCCCUCACAAAGAGAAGAAAGACUGCAUUGCAGUCUAAAGGAAUACCGUAUAAUUGAGAAGGCAAUUAAUGGUAUAGUACAUGUAGAUGUAACCAUGUGUUCCAGAGGCACGACCAGCUUCCUGGGCAUGCAACCUAUGUAGUACCCAAGGCUCCUAGUCCCUGGUACUCAAGAUCCUAACAGACAUGGUAGUUAUAAACAAGGCUUAGCAUUAGCAGCAAAGGGAACCAUUCUGGUCAGAACCAGGGAUCAGUGUGUCCCAAGCCCUAUCAGCAUAAGAAGAGGAGAAGAUUAUCUGAACUCAAGGACAUCAAAAACAAAAUAUUGUCUUCUGGUGUGUUGUGCUGCAAAUAACAGGAGUGUGGCUAAAAAUAACAUAAACAAUAAAGAAAUAUAUUGCUUCAUGUAA